This is a non-coding RNA of Oryctolagus cuniculus (rabbit), 236 nucleotides long. The record is from Rfam. Lineage: Eukaryota; Metazoa; Chordata; Mammalia; Lagomorpha; Leporidae.
CUGUGCCUCCUGAUUGCUGAGUGUUCACGUGGACCUUCUGAUCACCUUCCUCGUGCUGUUCCAUCGGCCCACAGAUCUGGUACCUGGAUUCUUGCCCAUAGUGAUUUCUACCACCUUACUACUGAUGAAGACACCAUUCCAGUGGACCACUGUGAUCCAGGAGGCGUGCAGCCAUCGUGAUGUGGCCUUUACCUCCACUCCUGUCCUGUUCUACCCAGAUUCAGCACAGCCUUUUA